This 877-nucleotide ribosomal RNA is filed under the name uncultured bacterium. RNAcentral's name for it is "bacterial SSU rRNA". It matches the Rfam family "Bacterial small subunit ribosomal RNA", at positions 9 to 903 of the family's 1533-position model. The record is from RNAcentral.
GAGUUGAUCCUGGCUCAAGAUGAACGCUAGCGGCAGGUUUAACACAUGAAAGUUGACGGGUAUUGGUUUUCGGACCCUCAGACCGGCGCACGGGUGCGUAACGCGUAUGCAAUCUACCUUUCACAGAGGGAUAGCCCCAAGAAAUUUGGAUUAAUACCUCGUAGGUUUCUAGAAUGGCAUCCUUUUAUGAGUAAAGUCACAACGGUGAAAGAUGAACAUGCGUCCCAUUACCUGGUUGGCAAGGCAACUGCUUACCCAGGGAACGACGGGUAGGGGGCCUGAGAGGGAGAUCCCCCACACUGGUACUGAGACGCCAUCCCCACUCCCUGAGGAGGCAGCAGUGAGGAAUAUUGGUCAAUGGACGCAAGUCUGAACCAGGCCAUGCCGCGUGCAGGAUGACGGUCCUAUGGAUUGUAAACUGCUUUUGUACGAGAAGAAACAACAUUACGUGUAAUGUCUUGACGGUAUCUUAAGAAUAAGGAUCGGCUAACUCCGUGCCGCAGCCGCGGUUAUACGGAGGAUCCAAGCGUUAUCCGGAAUCAUUGGGUUUAAAGGGUCCGUAGGCGGUUUAAAAGUCACUGGUGAAAGCCCAUCGCUCAACGGUGGAACGGCCAUUGAUACUGCUAGACUUGAAUUAUUAGGAAGUACUAGAAUAUGUAGUGUAGCGGUGAAAUGCUUAGAGAUUACAUGGAAUACCAAUGCGAAGGCAGGUUACUACUAAUUGAUUGACCCUGAUGGACGAAAGCCUGGGUAGCGACAGGAUUAGAUAUCCUGGUAGUCCACGCGUAAACAAUGGAUACUAGCUGUUGGGGGCACUUCAUGGCUAACGAAAGUGAUAGUAUCCUACCUGGGGAGUACGUUCUCAAAAUGAAAUCCA